Bubalus bubalis (water buffalo) is the source of this 2956-nucleotide long non-coding RNA. RefSeq lists it as uncharacterized. The transcript is spliced from 2 exons. Lineage: Eukaryota; Metazoa; Chordata; Mammalia; Artiodactyla; Bovidae. The record is from RefSeq and is a predicted model, not a curated record.
GUCAUUACGAAAGUGCUUCUCUUGUUGUUGUUGUUGUUUUCUAAAUUAAAUCCUAAAGUGGGCUUUCAAAAUACGUAAUUAGUAAUAACUGUAACAGCAAUUUUUAAAAAGUUUACAAAAGGGUAGAAAAUACAAGAAAUCACACCAAUGCAAAAUUUAAUGCCCCUCCCAAUAUAAAUGCAUAGGAAAAAAUACUCAAAUAUUUAAAGCAAUUUUCCUAGGUCAUGGGAGAUUUUACAGUUUUCUCUCUAUAGCAAAUCAAAGUGAAAUGCCACUUAAAUUCACAGAAAGGGAUGAAUUUUUUUCCUAUUAUGAAAGCAAAGAAUGGAAAUUAAUUAGAACAGAAUCCUAUUGAAUUUAACUUUUCUACAUUUGAGCAUCAGUUCUUUUUAUAACAAAAAUUUAUUUUAUAAUUUACACAUUUUAAAUUCAUGGGCAUGCUUGUCACCUGGCCCAGUCAUCUGUAGGAGAAAAGGGGACAGGAUGUUAUGAAUGGAGUGUCCCCAUGGUCCCGGGUGCUCAGAGUCCAGGGAGACACUGGUGCUGGACACUGUGGCUCAACGUCAGCACUGAGCUACAUAGUCUCAGAGGACUGAGUGAUAAGAAUUCUUUCUCUACCGUUUUUAAAAAGCCAAGUUCCUGAUUUACACAGGUGGGGGGCGGGUUGGGGGAAGUUUACCACAUUACAUUUCACAUUUUCAUCUAUCAUAAUUUAGAUCUUUACAUUUCUUGAGUUGGUGAUUGAUAGCCUCCAAACACAUAAACACUCUCCACCUGUACAAAAUGCACCAGGGACUUUUGUCUCAUAAAGGCAGGAUCAAGGUGGAAGUGAAUCAAAUUCUAAAACCCGAUCCUUAGCAGAAGUAAGUCCCAGGAUUGACUGUGGCCACAGAAGGUGACAGUUUCUGGAUGCUGUUAGUUUGUAGCAAAUUGAAGUUUUGUAGUCUUAUCUAUUACCAGAAAAACCCUCAAAAAAAAAAAAAAAUGUAGCCGGUGGGGGAGAAAGCAGGAGCCCCACCGUCUCAUUUUUAACUAGGACCAGCUGAAAAAUGAAGGCAAGCACCACACAGACCAUCUUAUGUCUGCCAAUUCAUUUCCUGGCCCCAAAAGAAAAAAAAAGGGAAAAAAGGAAAAAAAAAAAAAAAAACACCUCGUGUUUCCUCUCAUGCAGGCCAAACAUGGCAAAGCACCAGGGGAAUUCUGAAUGGAAUCAAUUGCACUUGUUACUAACUGAGUUUUCUUUUAUUCUUAUAUUACCAAGGGCUGGAUACUCAGCUGCAAGCAAUUAUAACGAAGAGUUACUGAGUAAUGGUUUCCAGAUUGCUCCAUGAUGGGGCAUUAAUUGAAAGGGACAAUUUAAGAGCUUAGGCCAUGUAAAUGCAUUUCUUAUUCUGUCAGAUUGAGAAAUUUCUGGAUGCAAAAGGCUGAAAUGCUCAGAACUGAUAAAGACUUAAUAAUGCCCAUUUAAACCAACAUUUUCAAAAUGAGUUUCAUGUUUUUAAAAGAACAAAUAUAAAAUGGUGAACCUGUGAGCUUGUUCAUUCAAUCAGAAAAAUAUUUGAAAUAGCACAUUUGCAUGCAGCACUCAUAGGCAUGUAUCUUAUACAAAAUGUUACUUGAUUAGUUGGAUGCAUUGCAAAGUUAAGCUUUCAGUCUGGAUUUGUGCCUUGGAUCUGCGGUGCUGAUGGUGGACUUCCCUGGAGCCUUGACACAAACCAUGACAUGGAAGGCAAAGUAGGCAGAAGAGAGAAGUUGUCAACCUAUGUAAAUUGAGAACAUCCUAUCGAAAAGACUGACAAGGAAAGGCCUUGAAACUACUACUAUUAUUAUAUUGCCCACUUUCCUCAUUCAUUCGACAAGCUAUGGUGUAACUUUUCCCCAUCUAUCACUUCAAAUGCUGCCUAAGCAAAAAACCAGAAUGAGGAUAUCUUAUGAAUAAGGAUCUUACCCAUUUGUUGGCAUCUCUUGGCCUGUUAAGGCAAUUCCUUGUCUAUAGCUGGGGUCAAAAUCUUCUUUCUUAUUGGAUUAGUCAUUCAAAGAAUGAAAACAUUAGAUUAAUAUCUGACUCUUCACUUUGGACUGUUGUUUAUUUGGUGGAAGUGAAAGGAAGUUCAGUCACUGGUAAAAAAUCUAGUUCUGUUUCCUCUAAAGUCAAGUUCAAGCCCCAUCAGAAUGUCCCACAGAGCAAUCCUUACACUAAGAUGCCUGAAAUUAAAUACAAAACCACUUGAAAAGGGGAUGGUCAAUUUAGGUCAGGGUUGAGUACUUUCAUAAGUAAUAAAGUCAUCUAAAUUAAUUAUUCAAACAGACUAUCAAGAAUCCAAGAUGAGAAAGAGGAGAGCAUUCUUUUCCACAAGAUAAAAUAGGAGUGUCUCAUGACUGUUACCAAAUAACAUUGUCCAAUAUGGUCCCAUUUUAGCCAAAAACAUCUAUACUAUGUAUCUGUCCUUUAUUUUGCUUUGCUUUCCUCUUAAGUUUUUCUCAGUCUUUGUGAAAUCUGAAGUUUUAACUACAAGUUUCAAAAAUCCCAUUAUUUAUUUCUGAGAUUUGAGGGGAAAAGAUUUCUUUUUAAACAUCCUGAAUUUAAAAAUAAAUAAACUUAACAGGAAGACAUGACAGUCUAUUUCAAUCGCUCUUGUGAUUUUUCAUUUUGUGGCAUGUACUGAUAAAUUAUCCAAAGUCACAUCGUAAUUUUGCCUAAGAAAUGUAAGCAUUGUGGGAUGUUUCUAAAAUAUAAGGGGGGGCAAUCUUUCAUCCAGCCAGUUACUGGCCUGCUGCUCUUCCUAAUAGCAGCCAAACACCUGAACAAACCCAGUGAAUUCCGGGCCAAAUGGUUCUGAUAACAGCAGAUCUGGGACAGGAUUGAUUGGUAAAAUAAGUCUUUUAAAAUACUGUUUAAUAAGUGUCCUUAUUUUCAGUACUUCUCUUAGCUCAGGUAAAUAAAGUAAGGAUACAU